This 73-nucleotide transfer RNA is filed under the name Gordonia spumicola. RNAcentral describes it as "tRNA-Thr". It matches the Rfam family "tRNA". From Rfam's summary of the family: Transfer RNA (tRNA) molecules are approximately 80 nucleotides in length. Their secondary structure includes four short double-helical elements and three loops (D, anti-codon, and T loops). Lineage: Bacteria; Bacillati; Actinomycetota; Actinomycetes; Mycobacteriales; Gordoniaceae. The record is from RNAcentral.
GCCUCCGUAGCGCAGUGGUAGCGCAGCUGUCUUGUAAACAGCAGGUCGUCGGUUCGAUCCCGACCGGGGGCUC